RNAcentral lists this unclassified non-coding RNA (409 nucleotides) under plant metagenome. Its description in RNAcentral is "partial contains internal transcribed spacer 2 and large subunit ribosomal RNA". The stretch from base 1 to 105 matches the Rfam family "5.8S ribosomal RNA", at positions 50 to 154 of the family's 154-position model. The record is from RNAcentral.
GAAAUGCGAUAAGUAGUGUGAAUUGCAGAAUUCAGUGAAUCAUCGAAUCUUUGAACGCACAUUGCGCUCCCCGGUAUCCCGGAGAGCAUGCCCGUUUCAGAACGCGAAAGAAGCGCCGCACCGCGCGGGGACCGCUUUGGCGGCCGCCGCAAGGUGGAGGCGGAGUUGGAUUUUUGCCGUGUUCUAGACGGCAAUCGUCCGAAAGGCAUCGUGCCCGCCCCGAUCGGUAGCAUCCUUUUGGUGGCUCCAAGCGCAACAGAUCUCCUUCUAUUUCGGUUGGGCCACCGCGAGGCUGCUCCUGGGAGCGCGCACCCCCCCCGUAAUUUUUUCAACGGACGGUGUGCCCUUCGGGUGCAUCGUCCGAGAAAUUCGUUCUGAAAUCGGGCAAGAAAACCCGCUGAACUUAAGC